GACGAACGCUGGCGGCGUGCCUAAUACAUGCAAGUCGAGCGAGCUUGCCUAGAUGAUUUUGAUGCUUGCAUCAAAUGAAACUAGAUACAAGCUAGGGGCGGAAGGGUGAGUAACACGUGGGUAACCUGCACAACAGACUGGGAUAACAGCUGGAAACAGAUGCUAAUACAGGAUAACAAAAAUAGACGCAAUGCUAGAGGUUGAAAGAUGGGUUUUCUAUAACUCUUGGAUGGACGUGCGGUGCAUUAGCUAGUUGGUAAGGUAACGGCUUACCAAGGCAAUGAUGCAUAGCCGAGUUGAGAGACUGAUCGGCCACAUUGGGACUGAGACACGGCCCAUACUCCUACGGGAGGCAGCAGUAGGGAAUCUUCCACAAUGGACGAAAGUCUGAUGGAGCAACGCCGCGUGAGUGAAGAAGGGUUUCGGCUCGUAAAGCUCUGUUGAAGGUGAAGAAAGAUAGAGGUAGUAACUGGCCUUUAUUUGACGGUAAUCAUUUAGAAAGUCACGGCUAACUACGUGCCAGCCGCCGCCGUAA
RNAcentral lists this ribosomal RNA (535 nucleotides) under uncultured bacterium. Its description in RNAcentral is "partial 16S ribosomal RNA". It matches the Rfam family "Bacterial small subunit ribosomal RNA", at positions 28 to 523 of the family's 1533-position model. The record is from RNAcentral.